RNAcentral lists this unclassified non-coding RNA (388 nucleotides) under uncultured fungus. Its description in RNAcentral is "partial contains small subunit ribosomal RNA, internal transcribed spacer 1, and 5.8S ribosomal RNA". The stretch from base 1 to 73 matches the Rfam family "Eukaryotic small subunit ribosomal RNA", at positions 1759 to 1831 of the family's 1831-position model. Lineage: Eukaryota; Fungi. The record is from RNAcentral.
GCAAACUUGGUCAUUUAGAGGAAGUAAAAGUCGUAACAAGGUUUCCGUAGGUGAACCUGCGGAAGGAUCAUUAUUGAAUGUCCUCGAUGGGUUGUUGCUGGCUCUUCUGAGCAUGUGCACACUUAUCUUGAUUCCAUUCAUCCACCUGUGCACACUUUGUAGUCUUUUUUGUGGGGAACUGGCUAUCAGUUGAAAGACUUGGAUUUUGAGGUUUGCUCAAUGCUCUCCUCUUGGCUGUGUAACCUUCAACCAAGAAGGGCUAUGACUUUUAAUCAUAAACCUGUAGUAUGUUGUCAGAAUGUGUUAAAUGUGGCCUCUGUGCCUAUAAAUUCUUUAUACAACUUUCAGCAACGGAUCUCUUGGCUCUCGCAUCGAUGAAGAACGCAGC